Molecule: ribosomal RNA, 254 nt
Filed under: uncultured bacterium
Lineage: Bacteria
Description: partial 16S ribosomal RNA
Rfam family: Bacterial small subunit ribosomal RNA
Source: RNAcentral
UACGUAGGGUGCAAGCGUUAUCCGGAAUUAUUGGGCGUAAAGAGCUCGUAGGCGGUUUGUCGCGUCUGCUGUGAAAACUGGGGGCUCAACCCCCAGCCUGCAGUGGGUACGGGCAGACUAGAGUGCGGUAGGGGAGAUUGGAAUUCCUGGUGUAGCGGUGGAAUGCGCAGAUAUCAGGAGGAACACCGGUGGCGAAGGCGGAUCUCUGGGCCAUAACUGACGCUGAGGAACGAAAGCGUGGGUAGCGAACAGGA